RNAcentral lists this ribosomal RNA (500 nucleotides) under uncultured Bacteroidota bacterium. Its description in RNAcentral is "bacterial SSU rRNA". It matches the Rfam family "Bacterial small subunit ribosomal RNA", at positions 355 to 857 of the family's 1533-position model. Lineage: Bacteria; Pseudomonadati; Bacteroidota. The record is from RNAcentral.
UGAGGAAUAUUGGACAAUGGGCGCAAGCCUGAUCCAGCCAUGCCGCGUGCAGGAUGACGGACCUGUGGGUUGUAAACUGCUUUUAUACAGGAAGAAACCCUGGUUCGUGAACCAGCUUGACGGUACUGUAAGAAUAAGGAUCGGCUAACUCCGUGCCAGCAGCCGCGGUAAUACGGAGGAUCCAAGCGUUAUCCGGAAUCAUUGGGUUUAAAGGGUCCGUAGGCGGUUUAGUAAGUCAGUGGUGAAAGCCCAUCACUCAACGGUGGAACGGCCAUUGAUACUGCUAAACUUGAAUUAUUAGGAAGUAACUAGAAUAUGUAGUGUAGCGGUGAAAUGCUUAGAGAUUACAUGGAAUACCAAUUGCGAAGGCAGGUUACUACUAAUUGAUUGACGCUGAUGGACGAAAGCGUGGGUAGCGAACAGGAUUAGAUACCCUGGUAGUCCACGCCGUAAACGAUGGAUACUAGCUGUUGGGCGCAAGUUCAGUGGCUAAGCGAAAG